RNAcentral lists this unclassified non-coding RNA (3830 nucleotides) under Lingula anatina. RNAcentral describes it as "carboxylesterase 1C, transcript variant X3". Lineage: Eukaryota; Metazoa; Brachiopoda; Lingulata; Lingulida; Lingulidae. The record is from RNAcentral.
ACGAAGGCGGACGUGGCAUUAAAGCAACCUACAGCGACAUGAAAAAUGCACCUAUUUUGAUUCAGGGGAAUACAAUAAAAAUCAUUUGACGCUGAGGUCAUCGCGGAUAAGGAUGUGAAACUGGAAUGUACGUAAGCUCACUCACAACAAGAUCAUCUUUCAACAAGGUACGGACGGAGGUAGAGAUAAGACUCAAUGAAAAGGACUGAGCUAUCUGGAAACGACUGGUACAUUUACAGGUGGUAGAUAGGAAAACCAGGAUAUUCUAUCAAUAGAGACUACAGCAAGCAGGUGAAGUUUAAAAAAGGCAGGUGUAUUGCAGACUCGCAAUAUUACAAAGGAAAAAAGAUGGAUACACGGACAGCUUAUUUAUUUCUUUUAGUAAUUUUUGUGAGCAGUUCUUUUGCUCAGAAUGAUACAACUGCGUCACCACAGACGACAGCGUCUGCGGGGAAUGGAACAACUACGGCGUCUCCAGCGAAUGAAACAACCACAGCGUCCGCAGAGAAUGGAACAACUACGGCGUCUCCAGUGAAUGAAACAACCACAGCGACCGCGGGGAAUGAGACUACGACGGCGUCCCCAGCGAAUGAAACAACCACGGCGUCCGCGGGAAAUGAAACAACUACAGCGUCUCCAGCGAAUGAAACAACCACGGCAUCGGCAGGGAAUGAGACUACGACGGCGUCCGCGGGGAAUGAAACAACCACGGCGUCCGCGGCGAAUGAGACAACUACGACGACGAUGGGGAACGAUACAACCACGGUGUCGCCAGGGAAUGACACAACCACGGCUCAAGCGGGGAAUGAAAGCACAACUAACGCUUCGACCUCUGAACUGCCGCCCACCACAACGGCCAUGCCAGAGAGAAACGUCGUUACCACCCCUCUAGGAAAGAUUCGCGGGAAGUUUGUGUCGCUCACUAUCAACUGGAAUGGAACAGAUACAAAUAUCCUUGGUGAAGAAUUUUUGGGUGUUAGAUAUGCCAGAACGCCAACUAGAUUCGCUGAGCCCCAAACUUUAGCCUCAUGGACGGAUAUCCAAGACGCUCUGGCAUAUGGCGCUAAUUGUCCCCAAAACAGAGACACGUAUGGCACUGUCACUACCGCAAGUCCUAUCAGCGAGUCUGAAGACUGCUUAUUUUUGAACAUUUUUGUUCCUAGCGGCGGGGUAGAAGCGUUAAAAGCAAUGAACGAAACUCUACCAGUGGUAGUGUAUCUCCAAAGUGGAGGCUACGACACCAUGCCAGCCACUUUGUAUAGUGGCAUUGUUCUUGCAGACUCUGGAAACACGAUUGUCGUAACCGUGAAUUACCGCGUGGGAGUUCUUGGUUUCCUGGCAUUGAAAAACGCUGCAGGUAGCAUUAUAGGAAACAACGGACUAAGAGACCAAUCCCUAGCCUUGGCUUGGAUUAGAGAUAAUAUUGCAAGUUUUGCUGGGGAUCCUACAAAUGUGACUCUGGUUGGGGAUUACAAAGGGGGUGCUAGUGUGGGGUUACACAUGGUUUCCUCUCAAAGUAGGGGCCUUUUCCACAGAGCAAUUUCUAUGAGCGGGGCCGUCACUGCCCCAUGGGCUUAUGCGACCACGACCACUGCUGGCGAGGAGUUCCUCCAGAGAGCAGAUUGUAAUAGAGAGAAUUACGAUACCUCCUUGGCUUGUUUGAGAGGGAAAAGUUUAAUGGAUAUUCUGAAAUACGAGAGGGAUCCCUCUUCACAGAUGAACCUUCACAGACCAGUUGUGGAUGGGACCAUUCUCGUGAAAUCUCCCGCGGAAUUGCUUCGUGACGGCGUUGCUAAGGACAUUCCAUACGUCAUAGGAUAUGGUGAAAGCGACGGUUCUUUUAUGUUGAAAUAUGUGACGGACGAAGUAGUGGAUGGAAACGUUACAAAUUAUAUGUAUAACCUUACCAAACUGAAACAAAUUCUAUCAGAUACAUAUUCUGAAUAUCUAGGUCUAAGUCAAAGUGUAAGAGCAACUGUUGAGAGUACUCUCUUCCAGUAUGACGUGGGGCCGGAGACAGACAAUGAUGAUUUAGGAACAGGAAUUGUGAAACUAUUUACAGACUUUUUCUUUAAGGCACCAACUGAGAUGACAACAGACCUAUAUUCAAAAAGUAAUGGGACGUCAGUUUUCCUGUAUAAUUUUGCCUACAGAUCUACAACACUUAACCCAACCAAGAAGUCCUUUCUCACCGCAGAAUUGCCAGAUCUACCAUAUUUUUUGUUCGGCGGAGGUUUAAUGUCAUCAGACACUUUACAAAAUCGAUCUCACAUUAUUGUUCGCCGAGCAGCUGCUUCGUCAGAUGAAAGUGACGAACAGAUUUCCCAGAACGUUAUGGGGUAUUGGUCAAAUUUUGCAGAAACAGGAAACCCCAAUACCGGUUCAAGGGAGCAGUAUACUGCAGCAAACUGGCCGAGUUAUGACAGUACAAAUAACAGCUAUCUCAAUCUUCAAGAAACACCAACCGACGCAAGAGUUGACAUGAACAACAGAAACGUACAGUUCUGGAAUAGAUAUGUCUCAACUGUUAAGCAAAAUGAACCCACCCCGACCACACCCACUACGGCUGCACCGACAGGGUUGGAUAUAGGUGCUUGCAGGCGAUACUAUGCUGCGAAGAUAGGGCCAGAGGUGUCUCCAGAGACGGCAGCCGGGGUGAUGUGGGGGAUGUUAGCUGCUGCAUUGUUAUUCUUUCUUGUGGCUGUUAUACUUGCUAUAUGCUUGUGCAAAGCACGUGGGUCCUGCGACGAGUACAUGUACGGAGAAUCGUAUCAGAUCUCUCAAAACGGAAAUCAUUAUUCUAGAACCACGUAUGACAACAAAGGAUACCAGAUGGCGGAGAGCUAGAAUACAGAGACAUUAUUUACUCUUUGACCAAAUAUGUAUCAAAUAGGUAAUUUUGACUUGAAAUAUAUAUAUAUUAGUAGUAUUAGAGAAACAUCGUAGAGGCCGACUUUGUUGAACUCUUUGGUAGGCCUACUUUGAUGUGUUUCGCAUAAUUCUAGACAGCUGGUUACAUUACUGAUAUGUAUACUAUGUAAGACCGAGGUGCAAGCAUACGUUUAUUAUCUAUAGGCCUUGUAGGAUAUAUUUGUGCUUCUAGUUGUCAGUUUUUUUGUACGUUUUCCUUUCCAUCUUAUUUGUAAGAUACAUUUGUAUAUGUUUCUUAUUUGCUUUAUAAUUUAAAGGAUUAAACAAAAUAUAUAUAAAACAUUUAUUUAUGAUAUACUGGCUAGGGCAUUUAUGAACAGAUUGGAAUCGCUUGUACAUGUAACUGGUCACUUUUUAACCCUUCUGACAUUCUUUGCCGCAAUUUUGAAGCGAUCUACUUAUUUUAAGAAUAUUCCACUUUCAUUAAAGCUCGAAACUGAGCAACAGAACAAUGACAGUGAGGAUAGCAUGAACUAAAUGUCAUGUUUCAAUUAGUAUCAACACUGAGUAGGCACAAUAUAACAAACGUUAUGUUUUUCAAUUAGCACCAACACUGGGUGGGCACAUUAUAACAAAUUUUCCAGCUGUUGAUAAAUUUGAAUGUUUCCAAUGUUCAUUGUAAGUUGUACAAUGGAAGUUGUGCCGAUUGGGAACAAAAUCUAACCGUCAGUUGUUUCUUCUCUUACUAACUUCGUGAUACGUGUGGUGUAUAUUGUAAUGUGCUGAAAAUGCAGAAGCCACUAAAGCGCCCUUGGCAUCCACAUGAACUCUGCAUUUAAAUUAAUCACACCGUUUUAUCAGUCCUUAUGAAGUGCUCAUCUUACGCUUCUAAGUAAUUGUCACAAUAACGGUAUAGUUAUAGAAACGUAAUAUCUGCCCAGGAUGAUAUUGCUCAUAAA